UACAGUUUAGUGCAGAUAAAAUAGCCGAAUAAUGAAUUUGUUUGUUAAGAGAGAAUAAUUUUUGAACAGAAACCUUGGCUGACACGGACUCUCGGGUAACGCGAAUCGUUCAAGAUUUAGUAUUUUCCUGAAAGAAAAGACCACAUUCGAACUCGAGUUAUGUGAUGCUGUUGUCGAGGUAACUUACAGAAACUUAAAUUUUUUAGGCUGAUUCUAAUGCAUCACUCAACUUCAGUACAAGUGAAAAGUAUAUAUGCCCGAGGCGGUUGACAGGAGUUUUACUGUGACUAUUUUGAUCGCAAAGAACUUCACAGUUGAGCUUCAUUGGACUAAUGCAAUUUUCUCUUCCGCCAGUUAUCAACACAAUCUCGGCCUUACAUGUUUGUCCAAAAUAAAAACUUAACAUUCGAUAGAACAGAGAUUUUAGUAGUCUUUGUCUUAGAUCUACCUUAACUUCGUUUACAUUCGUUUUCCUUCGGUAAUUGUUUUCGACAGUUUUAGAUACAAUAUCCACUAGUGAGAAUAUUUUAUAACAGAAGCAAAACGCUUCUCCAAUACACUAGGAUCAUAUUAUCUUCUGAUAUUGUGGUGGUUCUUGUUGAAUUUACUGUACUGUUUUAGCUCCUAGCGAGAGCUGCGCUCAGGAUUGCUUUGUUAUGAGAAAAAAAAAUCUUUUUAAGUGAUUUGGACAAGAGAAAACACUGUGCACCUUAAUCAGCAUAAUGGUAAAAAUACCAAGGUAUCUCGGGAGGAACAUGUUACAUCAACUCUGAGGGUGCUUUCACGCGAGAAUGAUCGUGACGCUAAAGAAAGCAGCGUUUAAAUCAUCAAGUAAUCCUUAGAGUAUUCACAAAGUGAUAGCAUAGCCAACAUUUGAGUGGAAUUACAAAUAUUGGGCCAUGCAAGACUUCCAGGACAAACACUCUCCCGAAAUAUUGUCCUACAAACGUUUACAAACUCGAAAAGAAAUGGUCUGGCGUAGUUGAUUAAUUUUAUCAGCCCCAAGCGAUUAUAAACAGUUGAUAAUCUCUUUAUCAGCCCCUGUAGCUGCUUAUGGCAAACUUGCAGAACAGAUUUCAUUGGAGGUGCAGUUUUAUUAUAGAAAAGAAAAACGUCCAGCAGAUGACCGAUACACUUUUCCAGAGGUGUCCGUAUGGAACAUUUUGCAAAAUACCUACAAGGACGUGAAUUUUCCCCAAAAUAUUUGAGAGGAUGCGCGAAAAACACUCACACUUUUCACUGCCUGUAAUACUUGCUCAUCACUAUUACUCAGUUACAUAUUGAGAACAGGAACCUCUCCAUCAAGUGCAGUUACGAGGGAGAGAUAUUUUGCCGCCAAGAUAAGUAUGUGUGUGUGUGAA
Molecule: long non-coding RNA, 1361 nt
Organism: Stylophora pistillata
Lineage: Eukaryota; Metazoa; Cnidaria; Anthozoa; Scleractinia; Pocilloporidae
Source: RefSeq, a predicted model, not a curated record